This is a long non-coding RNA of Rosa chinensis, 1433 nucleotides long. RefSeq lists it as uncharacterized. The transcript has 2 exons. The record is from RefSeq and is a predicted model, not a curated record. Lineage: Eukaryota; Viridiplantae; Streptophyta; Magnoliopsida; Rosales; Rosaceae.
AACCAAAUAAACUAGUCGAAAAGAAAAGUACAAUUUUUUCCUUGAUCGAGGACAAUAGUCUCUUUGUCGGUCAAAGAAUUUAAACACCUCCCAACUAGUUAAUAGUUACCCCAAGACGAGAGAGAGAGACAGACAGAGAGAGAGAGGGAGAACACCGACCUACAUACCUGCCUAUCCGACCUUCAUCAGAAUUUUACCUUCAACCUUCUUACAGAAACCUUUUCUAGCUAACUAUUAAACCCAGAAAAAUAAAGAGCCAAAGGUAGAUCCAGCUUGCCAACUUUAGAAUCUAACUGAAGAAAUUGAGCUCAGAUCUCCAGACAAACCAGAAAACCAAGGAAACGCAGAUCUGUGCAUGCUGAGAGGAGCUAAGCUAGCUAGUUGUGGUCCAAGGCAGAAACUAUAAUUAUACUGCUCGAAGUCUUCACCUUCUUCUACCUCUUCUUCUUCGAUCUGCGUCUUGUUGCAACGUCAACCUUAUAUUCUACUUGGCUGGAGAGUCUUUAUGGAGCGGGAUUGGAAAAAUUUGCCAAAGCAUCUUUUGGAUUCAGUUGCAGAAAAACUAUUGAAACCAUUAGACUAUUUGGGUUUCAGCUUGGUUUGUAAAUCAUGGUAUUCUGUAGCAAAGGAUAAUAAAAGCAAACAUGAAAGGAUGACAGGUCCAAUGCUGUUGUUUUAUUCAGGGAGAAAACACUAUUGGAAUUUCUACGAUGUCAUUAAUAAGAAGGUCCUUAAGUUCCAAGCAAAAGUGCCGUGGAAGCCACUUGUUGGAUCUUCAAAAGGAUGGCUAGUAUUUGUGCAUAGGAAUACUGAGGAUAGUAAAGUUUGUUGGACGCGGCGCUUUUCCAGAUUCUCAUGCUACCAAGAGAUAUAUCUUUGAAGGAGAAGACAAUAAAUUGUUGAUGGUCCAAAGGUACAUGGAGUAUAGCGAAGACAAACGAGUGACAAAGAAAUUUAGAGUUUUUGAGUUGAAUUUUCAAACGGGUGAAUGGACUGAGAAGAACACCUUGGGUGGAGUUGCUCUCUUUGUCGGAGAUAACUCUUCAAUAUGCGUGUUGGCUUCAAAAGUUUCCGGAUUUCAGUCAAAUUGCAUAUACUUCAACCAUGAUUGUGAUUAUGUAGGCGGUGGUGACGAAUAUGAUUUUGGUGUUUAUAACGUUGAAGAUCAAAGCUUCCCAAAAACUUACACUAACCGCGUUAAGAAGAUCCUGCAGAUGAGUUAUCCACAACCGAUUUGGGUUAAGCCGACUUUGUCUUUUCCGUUGUAAAGAGCCUAUGCCACUUAAGUUCUUUCCAUUGGAUGAGGAUGAGGAAGAAGACGAGUAAGACGCAACAAUGAGUGGUUGUUUACGGUUGUUAUUGUUGUACCAACUUUUUUUUGUAAUGUAACUUUGGUCUUAAAUCUUAAUCAAUAGAUUGUCUUUCUGUUUCAA